RNAcentral lists this ribosomal RNA (717 nucleotides) under Bifidobacterium sp. RNAcentral describes it as "bacterial SSU rRNA". It matches the Rfam family "Bacterial small subunit ribosomal RNA", at positions 20 to 748 of the family's 1533-position model. Lineage: Bacteria; Bacillati; Actinomycetota; Actinomycetes; Bifidobacteriales; Bifidobacteriaceae. The record is from RNAcentral.
UGGCUCAGGAUGAACGCUGGCGGCGUGCUUAACACAUGCAAGUCGAACGGGAUCCGCCAAGCUUGCUUGGUGGUGAGAGUGGCGAACGGGUGAGUAAUGCGUGACCAACCUGCCCCAUGCUUCGGAAUAGCUCCUGGAAACGGGUGGUAAUGCCGGAUGCUCCGCAUCAUCGCAUGAUGGUGUGGGAAAGGGUUUACCGGCAUGGGAUGGGGUCGCGUCCUAUCAGCUUGUUGGCGGGGUGAUGGCCUGCCAAGGCUUCGACGGGUAGCCGGCCUGAGAGGGCGACCGGCCACAUUGGGACUGAGAUACGGCCCAGACUCCUACGGGAGGCAGCAGUGGGGAAUAUUGCACAAUGGGCGAAAGCCUGAUGCAGCGACGCCGCGUGCGGGAUGACGGCCUUCGGGUUGUAAACCGCUUUUGAUUGGGAGCAAGCGAGAGUGAGUGUACCUUUCGAAUAAGCACCGGCUAACUACGUGCCAGCAGCCGCGGUAAUACGUAGGGUGCAAGCGUUAUCCGGAUUUAUUGGGCGUAAAGGGCUCGUAGGCGGUUCGUCGCGUCUGGUGUGAAAGUCCAUCGCUUAACGGUGGAUCGGCGCCGGGUACGGGCGGACUGGAGUGCGGUAGGGGAGACUGGAAUUCCCGGUGUAACGGUGGAAUGUGUAGAUAUCGGGAAGAACACCGAUGGCGAAGGCAGGUCUCUGGGCCGUCACUGACGCUG